CAGUAGCCGCGGUAAUACGAAGGGGGCUAGCGUUGUUCGGAUUUACUGGGCGUAAAGCGCACGUAGGCGGACUUUUAAGUCAGGGGUGAAAUCCCGGGGCUCAACCCCGGAACUGCCUUUGAUACUGGAAGUCUUGAGUAUGGUAGAGGUGAGUGGAAUUCCGAGUGUAGAGGUGAAAUUCGUAGAUAUUCGGAGGAACACCAGUGGCGAAGGCGGCUCACUGGACCAUUACUGACGCUGAGGUGCGAAAGCGUGGGGAGCAAACAGGAUUAGAUACCCGGGUAGUCCCUGUCUCUUAUAC
Molecule: ribosomal RNA, 301 nt
Filed under: uncultured bacterium
Lineage: Bacteria
Description: partial 16S ribosomal RNA
Rfam family: Bacterial small subunit ribosomal RNA
Source: RNAcentral